AAUAAGACAUGAAUUGAUGCACAUUGCCCAGUGCUGCCGAAGACGAGUCCAAUCUCCAGCAUCAUCUCGGCAUGAUCAGACACCACAAGCAAAAGCAGUAGAGAUGGACCCUCUCUCUCCACCUGAGCAGAGUACAGCACAAAGGCAGGAGGGAAUAUGAAGAUGGUCUCAGUGACGUGUAUAGGAUCCUUUGUUGUCGACACAAGGACACAGUCUAAGGACCAGAUUAUGUGUACCCACAAUGCACUUUGCAGUAUUGUUAUUUGCUAAUUGGUACACUGAAUUAUGACAUCAUUCAUCUGUAAAUAUCAGUUCUCCCUUUGCUAAUACUGCUCCAUGCUGAAAACAUGUUCCGGCUUUGUUUGAAAUCAGGAUGUUUGUUUCUCAAGAACAUUUCUCUCAUAUUCUAAAGCCGAGCUAGCGAACACAGCUUUAGUGAAAAUACAAAAUUUUUGGCCAUUUUUGUUGAAUUCAAUGGCACUUUAUUUUCUUUAUUCUUUAUUUAGGAGACGCAGUGCAUUGUGACACUGCGAUGUCAAUGCGUUUGUUACCUGCUUGUUUUCAUGAGUGUGGCAACUAGCGGUGCUGAGGAUGCUACAGCACUCCUUGUUGAGCGCAUGGCAAAAUGCUUUGUAUGAGA
Molecule: long non-coding RNA, 640 nt
Organism: Conger conger (European conger)
Lineage: Eukaryota; Metazoa; Chordata; Actinopteri; Anguilliformes; Congridae
Exons: 3
Source: RefSeq, a predicted model, not a curated record